Molecule: ribosomal RNA, 253 nt
Filed under: uncultured bacterium
Lineage: Bacteria
Description: partial 16S ribosomal RNA
Rfam family: Bacterial small subunit ribosomal RNA
Source: RNAcentral
GACAGAGGUGCCAAGCGUUAGGCGGAAUCACUGGGCUUAAAGCGUGUGUAGGCGGGCGAUCAAGUACCUUGUGAAAUCCCUCGGCUUAACCGGGGAACUGCGUCUGAUACUGGAUGGCUUGAGGUUGGGAGAGGGAUGCGGAAUUCCAGGUGUAGCGGUGAAAUGCGUAGAUAUCUGGAGGAACACCGGUGGCGAAGGCGGCAUCCUGGACCAAUUCUGACGCUGAGGAGCGAAAGCGUGGGGAGCGAACAGG